CUUGCUUGGGGUACUCGAGUGGCGAACGGGUGAGUAAUACGUGGGUAACCUGCCCUCUUCUUUGGGAUAAGCCCCGGAAACGGGGUCUAAUACCGGAUAUUCUGCUUCUGCCGCAUGGUGGGGGUUGGAAAGGUUUUUCGGUGGGGGAUGGGCCCGCGGCCUAUCAGCUUGUUGGUGGGGUGAUGGCCUACAAGGCUUCGACGGGUAGCCGGCCUGAGAGGGUGACCGGCCACAUUGGGACUGAGAUACGGCCCAGACUCCUACGGGAGGCAGCAGC
RNAcentral lists this ribosomal RNA (277 nucleotides) under uncultured Arcanobacterium sp. RNAcentral describes it as "partial 16S ribosomal RNA". It matches the Rfam family "Bacterial small subunit ribosomal RNA", at positions 76 to 355 of the family's 1533-position model. Lineage: Bacteria; Bacillati; Actinomycetota; Actinomycetes; Actinomycetales; Actinomycetaceae. The record is from RNAcentral.